UAUGUGAUCGUCUCUCGCAUAUCAAUAAGCGGAGGAAAAGAAACUAACAAGGAUUCCCUUAGUAACGGCGAGUGAAGCGGGAAGAGCUCAAAUUUGAAAUCUUAAAGGGUUUCCCUUUACGAAUUGUAGUUUAAAGAAGUGUUUUCUGUUGAGGUUUUGGUAAAAGUUCUUUGGAAUAGGACAUCAUAGAGGGUGAGAAUCCCGUAUUUGACCUUUACUUUCAACUUUGUGAUACACUUUCAAAGAGUCGGAUUGUUUGGGAAUGCAGUCCAAAAUGGGUGGUAAAUUUCAUCUAAAGCUAAAUAUUGGCGAGAGACUGAUAGCGAACAAGUACCGUGAGGGAAAGAUGAAAAGAACUUUGAAAAGAGAGUUAAACAGUACGUGAAAUUGUCAAAAGGGAAGCGUUUGACACCAGUGUUGUUUUUCUGAAAAUCAAUUAAAGAACUGUUUAUGCUAAGCUGUUUAGACUUUAUCAGCUAACUGUUUAGUUUUGAGCUUUUCUUUAAUGCACUUUUCAGUUAACAAGUCAACAUCAAUUUCUUUUGCUGUAAAAAAGCUUGAGGAAGGUGGCUUGAGAUUCGUCUUAAGUGUUUAUAGCCUCUUGCCUAUGCAGUCGGAGAGAUUGAGGUCUGCAGCGUAGAUCCUUCGGGGCUAAAUGCAUUUGUGCUAAGUUAUAGCAUUUUAUAGACAACUUGUUGACUAUGAUUUGUCUUGUAGCUUACUCGCUUAUGUUAUUUUACCUACGCUUAGGAUGUUGACUGAUAUGUAGUCGUA
This 774-nucleotide ribosomal RNA is filed under the name uncultured Neocallimastigales. RNAcentral describes it as "partial large subunit ribosomal RNA". It matches the Rfam family "Eukaryotic large subunit ribosomal RNA", at positions 24 to 644 of the family's 3401-position model. The record is from RNAcentral. Lineage: Eukaryota; Fungi; Neocallimastigomycota; Neocallimastigomycetes; Neocallimastigales.